RNAcentral lists this ribosomal RNA (1965 nucleotides) under human gut metagenome. Its description in RNAcentral is "bacterial LSU rRNA". It matches the Rfam family "Bacterial large subunit ribosomal RNA", at positions 1 to 1977 of the family's 2925-position model. The record is from RNAcentral.
UUAAGUGAACAAGGGCAUACGGCGGAUGCCUUGGCGCCAAGAGCCGAUGAAGGACGCGGUAAGCUGCGAAAAGGCAUGGGUAGGAGCAAGCAUCCUGUGAUCCAUGCAUAUCCGAAUGGGGCAACCCACCAUCAGUCAUGUGAUGGUACGAAAGAGGCAGACCUGGGGAACUGAAACAUCUAAGUACCCAGAGGAAAAGUAAUCAAUUGAGAUUCCCUAAGUAGCGGCGAGCGAAAGGGGAAGAGCCCAAACCAUGAAACUUCGGUUUUGUGGGGUUGAGGACCGGCAUAAAGAGGAAACUUCUUAGUCGAAUGGUUUGGAAAGGCCAUGCACAGAAGGUAAAACACCUGUAGGCGAAAAGAAGUCAAUCGGGCUGGUAUCCAGAGUACUGCGAGACACGUGAAACCUUGCAGGAAGCAGGGGGGACCACCCUCCAAGGCAAAAUACUACUUGGCGACCGAUAGCGCAUAGUACCGUGAGGGAAAGGUGAAAAGAACCCCGGGAGGGGAGUGAAAUAGAACCUGAAACCGUAUGUCUACAAGCAGUCGAAGCACCUUAAGAGUGCGACGGCGUGCCUAUUGAAGAAUGAACCGGCGAGUUACAUUAUGUUGCGAGGUUAAGUGGGAGACACGGAGCCGAAGCGAAAGCGAGUCUUAAUAGGGCGACUAGUAACAUGGUGUAGACCCGAAACCGCAGUGAUCUAUCCAUGGUCAGGUUGAAGCGCAGGUAAAAAUGCGUGGAGGACCGAACCCGUGAGUGUUGAAAAACUUUGGGAUGAACCGUGGAUAGGGGUGAAAUGCCAAUCGAACGCGGAGAUAGCUGGUACUCCCCGAAAUAGCUUUAGGGCUAGCCUCAGGGAAGAUUAUAGACGGUAGAGCACUGAUCUGGCAAGGGGGCGUAAAGCCUACCGACCCUAGUCAAACUUCGAAUGGCUAUAAUUAAGACCCUGGGAGUCAGACUGCGAGUGAUAAGACCCGUAGUCAAGAGGGAAACAGCCCAGACCGCCGACUAAGGUCCCCAAUGCUGUACUAAGUGGAAAAGGAUGUAAGACUUCAUAAACAACCAGGAUGUUGGCUUAGAAGCAGCCACCAUUAAAAGAGUGCGUAAUAGCUCACUGGUCGAGAGGCCUUGCGCCGAAGAUGUCCGGGGCUCAAGUACAGAACCGAAGUCGCGGCAGGAUUAUAUAAUUCUGGGUAGGGGAGCGUUGUAUAUCCGACUGAAGGUGUACCGGAAGGAGCGCUGGAGGAUAUACAAGAGAGAAUGCCGGUAUGAGUAGCGAAAAGAACAGUGAGAAUCUGUUCCACCGAAAGCCUAAGGUUUCCUGAGCAACGCUCGUCGACUCAGGGUAAGUCGGGACCUAAGCCGAGGCAAAAAGCAUAGGCGAUGGACAACAGGUUAAUAUUCCUGUACCGCUUCAAAUCGUUUGAGCAAUGGAGUGACACAGAAGGUAGCUUGAGCACGCGAAUGGAUGUGCGUGUCGAAGGUGGUAGGUUGCAGUAUAGGUAAAUCCGUACUGUAUAAGACCGAGAACUGAUAGAUAGACGAUACUUCGGUAAAGUCAAAUUCAAGUGAGCCAUGCUGUCGAGAAAAGCUUCUAGUGAGAGAUGAGGCGCCCGUACCGAAACCGACACAGGUAGGCGGGGAGAGAAUCCUAAGGUGCGCGGGACAACCCUCGUUAAGGAACUCGGCAAAUUGUAUCCGUAACUUAGGGAUAAGGAUAGCCGGAGGAUGUGAAGGGAUUUACUUCUGGAGCGUCAGCCGGUGGCACAAGAGAGGCCCAAGCGACUGUUUAGCACAAACACAGGUGCCUGCAAAAGAGAAAUCUGACGUAUAGGUGCUGACACCUGCCCGGUGCUGGAAGGUUAAGAGGAGGGCUUAGAGGAAACUCGAAGGCUUGAAUUGAAGCCCCAGUAAACGGCGGCCGUAACUAUAACGGUCCUAAGGUAGCGAAAUUCCUUGUCGGGU